UACGAAGGGGGGCUAGCGUUGCUCGGAAUUACUGGGCGUAAAGCGUGCGCAGGCGGUUUUGUAAGCCAGAUGUGAAAUCCCCCGGGCUUAACCUGGGAAUGGCAUUUGGGACUGCAAGGCUCGAGUGCGGCAGAGGAGACUGGAAUUCCUGGUGUAGCAGUGAAAUGCGUAGAUAUCAGGAGGAAUACCGAUGGCGAAGGCAGGUCUCUGGGCUGACACUGACGCUCAUGCACGAAAGCGUGGGGAGCAAACAGGAUUAGAAACCCCGA
RNAcentral lists this ribosomal RNA (269 nucleotides) under uncultured bacterium. RNAcentral's name for it is "partial 16S ribosomal RNA". It matches the Rfam family "Bacterial small subunit ribosomal RNA", at positions 524 to 790 of the family's 1533-position model. The record is from RNAcentral.